RNAcentral lists this ribosomal RNA (253 nucleotides) under uncultured bacterium. RNAcentral's name for it is "partial 16S ribosomal RNA". It matches the Rfam family "Bacterial small subunit ribosomal RNA", at positions 524 to 776 of the family's 1533-position model. The record is from RNAcentral.
AACGUAGGUGGCAAGCGUUAUCCGGAUUUACUGGGCGUAAAGCGCGGGCAGGCGGUCGGUCAAGUCUGAUGUGAAAUCUCUCCGCUCAACGGGGAGCAGCCAUUGGAAACUGGGCGACUGGAGUCUGACAGAGGUAGGCGGAAUUCCGGGUGGAGUGGUGAAAUGCGUAGAGAUCCGGAGGAACACCAGAGGCGAAGGCGGCCUACUGGGUCAGUACUGACGCUGAGCCGCGAAAGCCAGGGGAGCGAACGGG